Uloborus diversus is the source of this 691-nucleotide long non-coding RNA. RefSeq lists it as uncharacterized. The transcript has 3 exons. The record is from RefSeq and is a predicted model, not a curated record. NCBI's taxonomy places the organism in Eukaryota, Metazoa, Arthropoda, Arachnida, Araneae, Uloboridae.
CGAAGAGGACCCGACUGUUUGGCUUCGUGGAGCGGAAAAGAUUAGCUACCUCUUCUGAAAUGAAAUCUGUUCAUCAGUUAUGAUUUCUACAUCAUCUCAGAAAAAAGGGCUCUUAAAAACAUUUUCCCAAAAGAUUGGAUUUUGAAAACGAAAAAUAAAAUGUUUCAACUGUGAGUAAAAUUUUUAGCAUGAGGCAAGAAAAAUUACAAGCAAUAUAGCGACAGAAUUUCCACAUCCAGAGACUGCAGUUUCGUCUUUGUUAUGAACUCAUAAGUCUGGAAUAGUGAAUAACAGAGCUGGAGGCAGAUAAUAUCUCUCAUUGAAGCUGAGAGCGCCGACAUGAUUAGAUUAUUCAACGAUGAAAAGUUUAAGUCCCUCACAGUUUUUGAAGUAGCCUGGGUGAUUUUGAAGAGCAAGAUAUAAAAAGUGUUUUCAUACGUAACUAUGUGUUACUUCAAUUAUUUUUUAACUGUUACAAUCAGCUCAGCUAGUAGAGAAAGAUUUUUUUUAUGUCUCAUGAGUUUAAAGAAAUAUUUUCGAAGCACAAAGGGGGAAAAAAAACCUUUUCCAUUUAGCUAAACUGUCAAAACAGCACGACAUUGGGCACUGAUAGAUUAGUAAAACGAUUCCCUUCUCUUCCGAAUUCCAAAAAUCAUGCAUUAUAGCUUUUCCAAAAAGUAUAAAACCUUUA